GACGAACGCUUGCGGCGUGCUUAACACAUGCAAGUCGAACGGAAAGGCCCUGCUUUUGUGGGGUGCUCGAGUGGCGAACGGGUGAGUAACACGUGAGUAACCUGCCCUUGACUUUGGGAUAACUUCAGGAAACUGGGGCUAAUACCGGAUAGGAGCUCCUGCUGCAUGGUGGGGGUUGGAAAGUUUCGGCGGUUGGGGAUGGACUCGCGGCUUAUCAGCUUGUUGGUGGGGUAGUGGCUUACCAAGGCUUUGACGGGUAGCCGGCCUGAGAGGGUGACCGGCCACAUUGGGACUGAGAUACGGCCCAGACUCCUACGGGAGGCAGCAGUGGGGAAUAUUGCACAAUGGGCGGAAGCCUGAUGCAGCAACGCCGCGUGCGGGAGGACGGCCUUCGGGUUGUAAACCGCUUUCGCCUGUGACGAAGCGUGAGUGACGGUAAUGGGUAAAGAAGCACCGGCUAACUACGUGCCAGCAGCCGCGGUGAUACGUAGGGUGCGAGCGUUGUCCGGAUUUAUUGGGCGUAAAGGGCUCGUAGGUGGUUGAUCGCGUCGGAAGUGUAAUCUUGGGGCUUAACCCUGAGCGUGCUUUCGAUACGGGUUGACUUGAGGAAGGUAGGGGAGAAUGGAAUUCCUGGUGGAGCGGUGGAAUGCGCAGAUAUCAGGAGGAACACCAGUGGCGAAGGCGGUUCUCUGGGCCUUUCCUGACGCUGAGGAGCGAAAGCGUGGGGAGCGAACAGGCUUAGAUACCCUGGUAGUCCACGCUGUAAACGGUGGGUACUAGGUGUGGGGUCCAUUCCACGGGUUCCGUGCCGUAGCUAACGCUUUAAGUACCCCGCCUGGGGAGUACGGCCGCAAGGCUAAAACUCAAAGGAAUUGACGGGGCCCCGCACAAGCGGCGGAGCAUGCGGAUUAAUUCGAUGCAACGCGUAGAACCUUACCUGGGUUUGACAUGGAUCGGGAGUGCUCAGAGAUGGGUGUGCCUCUUUUGGGGUCGGUUCACAGGUGGUGCAUGGCUGUCGUCAGCUCGUGUCGUGAGAUGUUGGGUUAAGUCCCGCAACGAGCGCAACCCUUGUUCACUGUUGCCAGCACGUUAUGGUGGGGACUCAGUGGAGACCGCCUGGGUCAACUCGGAGGAAGGUGGGGAUGACGUCAAGUCAUCAUGCCCCUUAUGUCCAGGGCUUCACGCAUGCUACAAUGGCUGGUACAGAGAGUGGCGAGCCUGUGAGGGUGAGCGAAUCUCGGAAAGCCGGUCUCAGUUCGGAUUGGGGUCUGCAACUCGACCUCAUGAAGUCGGAGUCGCUAGUAAUCGCAGAUCAGCAACGCUGCGGUGAAUACGUUCCCGGGGCU
RNAcentral lists this ribosomal RNA (1346 nucleotides) under uncultured bacterium. RNAcentral's name for it is "partial 16S ribosomal RNA". It matches the Rfam family "Bacterial small subunit ribosomal RNA", at positions 28 to 1381 of the family's 1533-position model. The record is from RNAcentral.